RNAcentral lists this ribosomal RNA (793 nucleotides) under uncultured bacterium. RNAcentral's name for it is "bacterial SSU rRNA". It matches the Rfam family "Bacterial small subunit ribosomal RNA", at positions 104 to 909 of the family's 1533-position model. The record is from RNAcentral.
GGGUGAGUAAAAGGUAGGAAUCUACCCCUUGGACGGAGAUAGCUACUGGAAACGGUAGGUAAACUUCGAUAAGCCCGAGAGGGGAAAGUGGUGAGACAGCCGAGGGAUGAGCCUACUCUCCAUCAGGUAGUUGGUGAGAUAAAAGCUUACCAAGCCGAUGACGGAUAACCGGUGUGAGAGCAUGAACGGUCACAAGGGCACUGAGAGACGGGCCCUACUCCUACGGGAGGCAGCAGUGGGGAAUCUUGGACAAUGGGCGAAAGCCUGAUCCAGCGACGCCGCGUGGAGGAAGAAGUCCUUCGGGAUGUAAACUUCUGAACUAGCCGAAUAAAAGGCCUGUGGACACACAGGAGAAGAAAGUAGGCUAGGAAAAGUCCCGGCUAACUACGUGCCAGCAGCCGCGGUAAGACGUAGGGGGCAAGCGUUACCCGGAAUUACUGGGCGUAAAGGGGGCGUAGGCGGUAAAAGAAGUCAUCUGUGAAAACCUAUUGCUCAACGAUAGGCUAGCGGAUGAAACUGAAUUACUUGAGGGCACCAGAGGUAGACGGAAUUACCCGAGUAGGGGUGAAAUCCGCAGAUACGGGUAGGAACGCCGGUGGAGAAGUCGGUCUACUGGGGUGCACUAGACGCUGAGGCCCGAAAGCUAGGGGAGCAAACCGGAUUAGAUACCCGGGUAGUCCUAGCCGUAAACGAUGCUCACUAGGUGUAGGGAGUGAUAAACUCUCUGUGCUGAAGCGAACGCGCUAAGUGAGCCGCCUGGGGAGUACGUCCGCAAGGAUGAAACUCAAAGGAA